GAUGAACGCUGGCGGCGUGCCUAAUACAUGCAAGUCGAGCGAACAGACGAGGAGCUUGCUCCUCUGACGUUAGCGGCGGACGGGUGAGUAACACGUGGAUAACCUACCUAUAAGACUGGGAUAACUUCGGGAAACCGGAGCUAAUACCGGAUAACAUGUUGAACCGCGUGGUUCAACAGUGAAAGACGGUCUUGCUGUCACUUAUAGAUGGAUCCGCGCCGCAUUAGCUAGUUGGUAAGGUAACGGCUUACCAAGGCAACGAUGCGUAGCCGACCUGAGAGGGUGAUCGGCCACACUGGAACUGAGACACGGUCCAGACUCCUACGGGAGGCAGCAGUAGGGAAUCUUCCGCAAUGGGCGAAAGCCUGACGGAGCAACGCCGCGUGAGUGAUGAAGGUCUUCGGAUCGUAAAACUCUGUUAUUAGGGAAGAACAAGUGUGUAAGUAACUAUGCACGUCUUGACGGUACCUAAUCAGAAAGCCACGGCUAACUACGUG
RNAcentral lists this ribosomal RNA (497 nucleotides) under uncultured bacterium. RNAcentral's name for it is "partial 16S ribosomal RNA". It matches the Rfam family "Bacterial small subunit ribosomal RNA", at positions 28 to 507 of the family's 1533-position model. The record is from RNAcentral.